RNAcentral lists this long non-coding RNA (1092 nucleotides) under Phasianus colchicus (ring-necked pheasant). Its description in RNAcentral is "lncRNA (ENSPCLG00000005415.1)". Lineage: Eukaryota; Metazoa; Chordata; Aves; Galliformes; Phasianidae. The record is from RNAcentral.
AUGCCAUCAUCUGUCCUGGUGUGGAGCACAGAUGACACUGCUACAAGAAGAGCAGUUCUGCACAGGGGAAAAAAGACAGGAGCCUGCAGAGGAUGGGAGAAGUUAAAUCAGGCCCUGGGUGCUGAUAGCCAGGUGAUGGGCAUCACAGGCCACAGUGCCAACAGUGCCUGUCCUCAGGAUGCAACCAGGAUGGUACCCACAGGUUGUACAUCCCAGGGCUGGAGAACACUUUGUCAAGAUUGCUGGGCCAGAGCCCAAGCUUGGCUGGAGCUUUCACUUGGAAAGCUUAGCUUGCUUCAAAGGCAGCAAUCGCAGCAAAGGAGUGUUUUGGCUCUAGAGAUGGAGGAUGCAGAUUUCCUGGAGAAGAAAGGCUGCCCUCAGACAGAGGGGAGGCUCCACCACAUUCCCAGCACUGAUGAGCUUUGGGUUCGCUGUGGGGAAGCACAUGGCAGCCCCAGGAGCAGAGCAGGCAGGGCAAGCACCAGAGGAUGCCCUGGUUUGCAGGGAGACAGCCUGAGGCCCUGGGUCACACACUGGAGGACAGGGCAGGACCAGCCACAGAGCCCUGCUCUCCGUGCCCAGCGGUGGCAGGGUGCUGGUGACACUGAGCGGGCUCACUGCCUCACGGCGUUCACCUUCACUCUCUGCAUUGCUCAGACAGCUCCUUGCACAAUGCCACGGCGGGGCAUCUGGGCAGAACCCGGCCUGUGCCCCCAGCAAUCACAGAGGGUCGAUCCCUGGAGCUCACAGCCCGGCCAGGCUGCCUUCCUGCAGCCACCUGGCACCCACCACUGCUGUGUGCUGGCAGCGCAGCGCGGGAAGGGCAGCUCGGCCCCGAGGGCUCUGCUGAACAUCAGCCUGGACCUGAGCCCUUCCGACCUCUCAGCUUUCCCUGCUCGCAGGCCAGCACAUGAGCUACGCACCGCUGCUUUGAGCCGCUGCCAUAUGGCACCAGCCCUGCACAGACAACUCCUGCAAGAGCUCAGCAGCAGCAUCUCUCCUCCGCUCCGGCAGCUGCUACAGACUGGGGUUUCUAAACCUUCCUUGAACACUCAGACCCUCAGCAGUGCUGCAGAAGUGCACGCUGUUUAA